RNAcentral lists this ribosomal RNA (524 nucleotides) under Penicillium thomii. RNAcentral's name for it is "eukaryotic LSU rRNA". The stretch from base 168 to 321 matches the Rfam family "5.8S ribosomal RNA". The record is from RNAcentral. Lineage: Eukaryota; Fungi; Ascomycota; Eurotiomycetes; Eurotiales; Aspergillaceae.
UAGAUNAGCCUCUGGGUCACCUCCCACCCGUGUUUAUUGUACCUUGUUGCUUCGGUGCGCCCGCCUCACGGCCGCCGGGGGGCUUCUGCCCCCGGGUCCGCGCGCACCGGAGACACCAUUGAACUCUGUCUGAAGAUUGCAGUCUGAGCAUAAACUAAAUAAGUUAAAACUUUCAACAACGGAUCUCUUGGUUCCGGCAUCGAUGAAGAACGCAGCGAAAUGCGAUAACUAAUGUGAAUUGCAGAAUUCAGUGAAUCAUCGAGUCUUUGAACGCACAUUGCGCCCCCUGGUAUUCCGGGGGGCAUGCCUGUCCGAGCGUCAUUGCUGCCCUCAAGCACGGCUUGUGUGUUGGGCUCCGUCCCCCCGGGGACGGGUCCGAAAGGCAGCGGCGGCACCGAGUCCGGUCCUCGAGCGUAUGGGGCUUUGUCACCCGCUCUGUAGGCCCGGCCGGCGCCAGCCGACAACCAAUCAUCCUUUUUUCAGGUUGACCUCGGAUCAGGUAGGGAUACCCGCUGAACUUAAGC